AGUGGCCUAGUGGUUAACACACGGCCUGGUAACCCAGGGGUCGUGGGUUUGAGACCGG
This 58-nucleotide transfer RNA is filed under the name Oxyrrhis marina. Lineage: Eukaryota; Dinophyceae; Oxyrrhinales; Oxyrrhinaceae. The record is from RNAcentral.